GACAGAGGGUGCAAACGUUGUUCGGAAUUACUGGGCGUAAAGCGCGUGUAGGCGGUUCGGAAAGUCGGGUGUGAAAGCCCUGGGCUCAACCCAGGAAGUGCACUCGAUACUGCGUAGCUUGAGUACCGGAGAGGUUGGUGGAAUUCUCGGUGUAGAGGUGAAAUUCGUAGAUAUUCGGAAGAACACCAGUGGCGAAGGCGACUUACUGGACACAUAUUGACGCUGAGGUGCGAAAGCGUGGGGAGCAAACAGG
RNAcentral lists this ribosomal RNA (253 nucleotides) under uncultured bacterium. RNAcentral's name for it is "partial 16S ribosomal RNA". It matches the Rfam family "Bacterial small subunit ribosomal RNA", at positions 524 to 776 of the family's 1533-position model. The record is from RNAcentral.